UAUUCAUUAUAAUCUACAAUUUCUGGGUUCAGUUUGUACUUUCUGACGAGUUCUUUGCUUUUUAAAUUAUGACAUACUUUAGUAUAUUUAGCUGGGUACCUUUAUUUCUUCUUGCUAUGGUCAUGUCACAGCUGGGAUGUAGUUCUUUCCUUUUUUUCUUCACAGGACUCCUCUCCAUUUUUGCACCCCCCCUCUGCAUUACCAAAGUCUCCUCCCCUUCGUAUACACUACCUGGAGUCUCUCUCACCCUCCCUUACAUUAUCUAAGUCUCGCUCCGCCUCCCAUCCACUCUGAAGGCUAGCUCCCGCACUGUGUGACAUUUUCUUUCACUGCAUCACAGACAGGUGAAGGCAAGGGAAGGAGGCGGAGCGAGUCUUCAGAGAGUGGACGGGAGGUGGAGCGAGACUUUGGAAGGGUGAGGGAGGGGGAGCGAGACUUCAGAUAGUUGAUGCGAGGGGGAGUGAAAAUGGAGAAGAGAACGCUAGUGAGGCAGCUGCAGAUUUUUUACUGGAGUGAGAUCUGCUAUGAAGGAAAGAGAAGCCGAAGGGAGGGGGUGGAGCGCGUUGUGGGAGUUUAACAUUUUGGCCUGCCUACGUUUCUGAAGGAUGAAGAGAAAAAAGGAAAAUCAGGAAGGGGGUCAUGAGUACUCAUCACUGGCUCAAUAGAGGCAUUGUAUUCAGCACCAGAGAAAGCGGCUCUAUCAAAGCUGUGCCCUGCUGAUCAGAGAAGAGCCGCUGCUCUUGAUCAUUUUCACAAUUUUAUACUCAUCAGUGAAAUGUUGUCGGUUCAGAUCACUCCGGUCCUCCAGCAGGAACAUAAGAAGCAGAAUUAUUUUAAAAGUACAUUAAAGUAAACCAAAGUGGAGAUGGCUAGAAAGCCAAAAGGUUCCAAGACUAAGAAUAUGGUAAGACAAGGAUGAAGGGAACUGCUAGUUGUCAGUUAACACAAAGGCCUUUACUACUUAAACUUGACCACUCAACCACUUAAAGGCACAUGAAACUUUUUUAAGCCUUUUCCAUUGUAUUUUUCAACUAGAAAUUUUAAAAGAAGAAUAUGUAUAAUUUUAAUUUCUGCAUAGUUUUAUCAUGCCCUACAAAAGUGUUAGUGUGCCUCACAGGCAUCAUAAAAUAAUUUCUAUCAUCUCCGUGUAUCAAUUUUGCAUUACUGUUCAUGUCACUAUAGCCUUUUGCUCUGUUUGAAAGAUGUAAUAGGGCUCAUAGCAAAAUCUGUGACCCUUGAAAAAAAAAGUUGUGUAACUUUUUCCACUGCAAACCCAAAUCCCUAUCCAUAUAUGCUAAGGUUACUGAGUCACCUAAAAAUCAAGGAUUGUUAUAAAUACCAUAAGAAAUGAUGCAAUUAAUGCAAACCAGCUGCUAUAAUGAUUUGUUAAUAGACAAAGGCCAAGGCUAGUGCCACACAGAUCUGAUUUUCAGCCUAAUCAGUUGAUCCACUUGCCUCUGCUUGCUCAAAAUAUGCAGAAAUUUGCGAGUAUGUAUUUUUGCACCAAAAUCUGCUCCAUUUCUGUCAGUAUCCAGUCUGACACAGUGCUUCUCAGUGCAGACACAGGAGUGAAUGAGCAUGAAAGGGUUGUCCCUUGUCAAAGAUUGUUUUUAUGUUUGCAGUAGAACCCACUACCCAUAUAAAAGUUUAGAAUAUUUGGUGCUGUAUAUUUGCCCUUAUUGAAGCUGUCAUCCAGGUCCACCUGAAAAAGAAUUCCUGUUAAACAAACACAAAAUUCCCAAUAUGAACUAAUUCUCUCAGAAGCUGAUCAUAUUUUGCUAACAAAUCACAGCAAAAUCAAACACAGUCAGUAUUAAUAACAUAAUAAUUAAUGCAAUCUGCUAUCAAACACAUGUAGCACUAUAGAUGGUACCCUUUCCUGAUGCUUUCAUAGGUACGGCACUGCUACAUGUUACCCCUCACUUCAGCUGGAUCCUCACAGAAUAAUUAAGUAGUCUUCAGGCUGAACUAUAACUCUGCUUAACUCUCUUUAACACAUUAACUCAGGUGCUUAUUUUGUACACCAAACAUAUAAAUGCAUAGCUACACAUCCCACACCAAAUUUACGAUAUGUAUCACUCAUGCCACGGGUGUUUGUUCCCAGUGUACCAGUCUUACCCAGUCCCUACACUUGAUGAGUGUCAACUGGAAAACUGCUCCACAUUAAUCCUCCUUAGUGGUACAUAAAAUAGUGAAGUCUAGUUAAGGUUGUCACCUGUCCGGUUUUGACCCAGACAGAUUGGAUUUUGGAAGGGGUGCCCAAGUCAAAACUGUCUGCCUAGUUUUCCAAAUUAGGAAAUAUGGGCAGGAUUACCUUGGAUUGAUAUGGCAAUCGGCAAUCAUAACCCUGUCCUUGACAUCACUGGCCUGCCCCUACAGAGUCAAAACCCUGCCCCUCCAUAUAAUUGACCGCCCCCAGGCCCAGAUUUGUGAUGAGGCCUAGGGUAUUACUGAGCACCCGCUGCUUAAUUUCAAGUCAAAACGCAAAUGUCCCUGAGGAAGCCGAGCUAUCGGUGAAACGCGUAGGGCGGGCGGCAUAGGUGGAUGAAGGGUGAUUAGCUCCCACUCGUUCCCCACGUAGACAGGCAGGUACCACUGGGAAACGAUUGGAGGGCAAAUAGGCUUAACGGGUAGCGUUAACUGAGCAUUUGCAAUUUUGACUUGAAAUUAAGCAGCGGGUGCUCAGUAAUACCAUCCAUAUACUUGUAGUUUUUAGAUAUAUGUGGUUUUUAGGGACAUAGUCCCACACUGCUUCAGUUCUAUGUGUAUGGAGGCGUGUGUCUUGUGUUAUUGGUAGCGUGCUUUUUACUUGAAUGGUUAUUAAAAGUUAAGUAUUAAAUAGUAAAAUAAAUCCUCUUUAUCUGAACUGGUUAGCUGGAAGCCCAGAGGCAAUGCAAGCUUUUUGUAAUUGGCUCUGACUGACUUCAGUUGUGGUUUGAAUAUUUUUGGCCUUAAAAUUAUGUUAGCGACAACUUCAGAUCUCCAUGUGUUCUUGAAUAGAGUCAAGGCGGAAUAUCCUGAGAUUGCCACAAAAGCACUGAAAACCCUGCUUCCAUUUCCAACAUACUCUGUGAAGUGGGAUUUUCUGUAAUGACAGAAACCAAAACGAGAUGAUGGAAUAGACUGGACAUAGGAAACACACGUCAUGUGUCACUGUCUCUCUUCACUCCCAGAUGGAACAGUCAAGUUACAGGGAAACAAGCUCAGGUCUCCCACUGAUUCUGGAUUCUGGCGAAUUGUAUUAUUUUUUAUAUUACAAUGUAUUAAUUAAAUUAUACAUGCACUA
Molecule: long non-coding RNA, 3286 nt
Organism: Xenopus laevis (African clawed frog)
Lineage: Eukaryota; Metazoa; Chordata; Amphibia; Anura; Pipidae
Exons: 2
Source: RefSeq, a predicted model, not a curated record